This 257-nucleotide ribosomal RNA is filed under the name uncultured bacterium. Its description in RNAcentral is "partial 16S ribosomal RNA". It matches the Rfam family "Bacterial small subunit ribosomal RNA", at positions 793 to 1055 of the family's 1533-position model. The record is from RNAcentral.
GUCCACGCCUUAAACGAUGAAUACUAGACGUUGGGAUAAAACUCAGUGUCGCAGCUAACGCAGUAAGUAUUCCACCUGGGGAGUACGAUCGCAAGGUUGAAACUCAAAGGAAUUGACGGGGCCCGCACAAGCAGUGGAGCAUGUGGUUCAAUUCGAUGCAACGCGAAGAACCUUACCUGGGCUUGACAUGUAAGCUAAGGCGAAUGAAAGUUCGCGUCCCGCAAGGGGAGCUUAUACAGAUGCUGCAUGGCUGUCGU